Molecule: small RNA, 165 nt
Filed under: Mytilus galloprovincialis (Mediterranean mussel)
Lineage: Eukaryota; Metazoa; Mollusca; Bivalvia; Mytilida; Mytilidae
Source: RNAcentral
ACAGAUUCGACCACCACAUCUCGUGUAAUACGAUAUUUAUCCACUCUCGACAGUUAAAUUUUAAAUAUUUAGAACGCUCGGCGAGCCUCGCGUUUUAAAUUUGAAAAUUUAACUGUCUCGAGUGGAUAAAUAUUGUAUCACAUUCGAUGCAGUGGCAGAAUCUCU